GCUAAUGUAGCAAAGGGUAAUGCGAUAGAUUUAGGAUUUAUUAUUAAAGGUUCAAAUCCUUUCUUUAGUU
Molecule: transfer RNA, 70 nt
Filed under: Meridiastra gunnii
Lineage: Eukaryota; Metazoa; Echinodermata; Asteroidea; Valvatida; Asterinidae
Description: tRNA-OTHER
Rfam family: tRNA
About the family: Transfer RNA (tRNA) molecules are approximately 80 nucleotides in length. Their secondary structure includes four short double-helical elements and three loops (D, anti-codon, and T loops).
Source: RNAcentral